Molecule: unclassified non-coding RNA, 215 nt
Filed under: Bromus inermis (smooth brome grass)
Lineage: Eukaryota; Viridiplantae; Streptophyta; Magnoliopsida; Poales; Poaceae
Source: RNAcentral
CAAAACACGCUUCCAACCCCCUCAUCGGGGAUCGGGAUGCGGCAUAUGGCCCCUCGUCUCGCAAGGGACGGUGAGCCGAAGAUCGGGCUGCCGAUGUAUCGUGUCGGACACAGCGCAUGGUGGGCGUCUUUGCUUUAUCAGCGCAGUGCAUUCGACGCGUAGCCGCAUGAUGGCCUAAAAAAGACCCAGCUAACGGAGCGCAUGUCGCUUCGAUC